AUUGAACGCUGGCGGCAGGCCUAACACAUGCAAGUCGAGCGGGGUGAUGGUGCUUGCACUAUCACUUAGCGGCGGACGGGUGAGUAAUGCUUAGGAAUCUGCCUAUUAGUGGGGGACAACAUCUCGAAAGGGAUGCUAAUACCGCAUACGUCCUACGGGAGAAAGCAGGGGAUCACUUGUGACCUUGCGCUAAUAGAUGAGCCUAAGUCGGAUUAGCUAGUUGGUGGGGUAAAGGCCUACCAAGGCGACGAUCUGUAGCGGGUCUGAGAGGAUGAUCCGCCAAACUGGGACUGAGACACGGCCCAGACUCCUACGGGAGGCAGCAGUGGGGAAUAUUGGACAAUGGGGGGAACCCUGAUCCAGCCAUGCCGCGUGUGUGAAGAAGGCCUUAUGGUUGUAAAGCACUUUAAGCGAGGAGGAGGCUACUCUAGUUAAUACCUAGGGAUAGUGGACGUUACUCGCAGAAUAAGCACCGGCUAACUCUGUGCCAGCCGCCGCAGUAA
RNAcentral lists this ribosomal RNA (503 nucleotides) under uncultured bacterium. RNAcentral's name for it is "partial 16S ribosomal RNA". It matches the Rfam family "Bacterial small subunit ribosomal RNA", at positions 30 to 523 of the family's 1533-position model. The record is from RNAcentral.